UCAAGUGACUAAGUGCAUGCGGCGGAUGCCUUGGCGAUCACAGGCGAAGAAAGACGCGGCAGCCUGCGAAAAGCUGCGGGGAGCUGGCAAACGAGCAUUGAUCCGCAGAUAUCUGAAUGGGGGAACCCACACCGCAAGGUGUAUCCGUAGCUGAAUACAUAGGUUACGGAGGCGAACGAGGAGAACUGAAACAUCUAAGUAUCCUCAGGAAAAGAAAUCAACCGAGAUUCCGGCAGUAGCGGCGAGCGAACCCGGAGGAGCCCAGCUUUUGAUAGUACGAACUUUAGCCGAAAGGUCCUGGAAAGGCCUGCUAUAGUGGGUGAUAGCCCCGUAGGCGAAAGAGUUCGUAUGGUACUAAGGAAGCGAGAAGUAGAGCGGGACACGUGGAAUCCUGUUCGAAGACGGGGGGACCAUCCUCCAAGGCUAAAUACUCGUGAUCGACCGAUAGUGAACCAGUACCGUGAGGGAAAGGCGAAAAGAACCCCGGGAGGGGAGUGAAAUAGAACCUGAAACCGCAUGCAUACAAACAGUAGGAGCCUUUACGGAGGUGACUGCGUACCUUUUGCAUAAUGGGUCAGCGACUUACAUUCUGUGGCGAGCUUAACCGAAUAGGGGAGGCGCAGCGAAAGCGAGUUCGAAAUGAGCGUCCAGUCGCAGGGUGUAGACCCGAAACCAGAUGAGCUAUCCAUGGCCAGGUUGAAGGUGUGGUAACACACACUGGAGGACCGAACCGACUAGUGUUGCAAAAUUAGCGGAUGAGCUGUGGAUAGGGGUGAAAGGCCAAACAAAUCUGGAGAUAGCUGGUUCUCCCCGAAAACUAUUGAGGUAGUGCCUCGUGUGUCGCUCCAGGGGGUAGAGCACUGUUUUGGCUAGGGGGACAUGGAGUCUUACCAAACCAAGGCAAACUCCGAAUACCUGGAAGCGUAAGCACGGGAGACAGAGCACCGGGUGCUAACGUCCGGACUCAAAAGGGAAACAACCCAGACCGCCGGCUAAGGUCCCAAAUAACAGCUAAGUGGAAAACGAAGUGGAAAGGCCGUGACAACCAGGAAGUUGGCUUAGAAGCAGCCAUCCUUCAAAGAAAGCGUAAUAGCUCACUGGUCGAGUCCUUCUGCGCGGAAGAUGUAACGGGGCUAAGCUGUUAACCGAAGCCGCGGAUGCACUGGUAAUCCAGUGCGUGGUAGGGGAGCGUUCUGUAAGUCUGCGAAGGCGGUUCGAGAGGACUGCUGGAGAUAUCAGAAGUGCGAAUGCUGACAUGAGUAACGUUAAAGCAGGUGAAAAGCCUGCUCGCCGUAAGCCCAAGGAUUCCUGCUCUACGUUCAUCGGAGCAGGGUGAGUCGGCUCCUAAGGUCAGGCCGAAAGGCGUAGCCGAUGGGAAUCAGGUUAAUAUUCCUGAACCUGCGUCAGAUGCGAUGGGGGGACGGAGCAUGAAAGAUCAUCCGGGUGUUGGAAGUCCCGGUUGUUUAGCGUAGGAGGUCUGCAGGCAAAUCCGCAGACGCAUCUCCAAGGCAAAGACACGUGCCGCCACGGCGGCGAAGUGAUCGGAAGUGCUUCCAAGAAAAGCCUCUAAGCCCCAGUCUGACGCGGACCGUACCGCAAACCGACACUGGUGGGCGAGCUGAAUAUGCUCAGGCGCUUGAGAGAACUCGGGAGAAGGAACUCGGCAAAUUGACACCGUAACUUCGGAAGAAGGUGUGCCGUAGUAGCGUGAGAGGAGAGACUCCUCGAGCGUGAAUCGGUCUCAGAGAAUAGGUGGCUGCGACUGUUUAUUAAAAACACAGCACUCUGCAAAGUCGAAAGACGACGUAUAGGGUGUGAUGCCUGCCCGGUGCUGGAAGAUUAAUUGAUGGGGUGAGAGCCCUUGAUCGAAGUCCCAGUAAACGGCGGCCGUAACUAUAACGGUCCUAAGGUAGCGAAAUUCCUUGUCGGGUAAGUUCCGACCUGCACGAAUGG
Molecule: ribosomal RNA, 1953 nt
Filed under: human gut metagenome
Description: bacterial LSU rRNA
Rfam family: Bacterial large subunit ribosomal RNA
Source: RNAcentral